This 985-nucleotide long non-coding RNA is filed under the name Mustela putorius furo (domestic ferret). RNAcentral describes it as "lncRNA (ENSMPUG00000027248.1)". The record is from RNAcentral. Lineage: Eukaryota; Metazoa; Chordata; Mammalia; Carnivora; Mustelidae.
GGGACCCUGAGAUCUUGACCUGAGCCGAAGGCAGAGGCUUUAAGCCACUGAGCCACCCAGGUGCCCCCUGCUUUUCUUUUUUAAAAACAGUGUGAUCACUAAUUACUUCACUAUAACUUCAUUUCUCACUGCUGUGAUAUACGUCCUGGUUUAUUGCAUCUAUCCCCAGCAGUAGGCGUGCGUUUUAUUUCCAUGGCUUUUCUUUGCAGAGCAAACAGGUAACAUUUGGCUUUUCAACAUAUGAUUGCAGAUGGUGACUUCAGGAGUAAGGACUAGGCUUUCACCUUAAAUCAAGGAGCUUGCUGAAAGAAGAUCCCAAGAGUGACUCUUCACCGGUAUCAGACCUGGGAGACACCUCAGAAUGUUCCAGAACCUUGGGCCAGCACUGGGGAGCCUCCACAUGGGAGGCCAAGCUGCUGCCCUGCCCAAGAGAAGAGUUGCAAGCAGGAGAGGGAAGAAGCAGCCACGACGGUGACAGAAUUGACCAGAACUCUAGACCAGACUUCAAGGAAGCUCUUCGAGGAAGAACCACAUCCUGUCCAUGCUGUUCUCCACGGCCCCUCUGAGCACCGCGGGACUUGGCCUGGAGACCGGAUGCCUGGACCAUCAAAACCAGAACGGCUUUCAGCUAAAUUCCUACCUGAGCUGUCUUGUACCACCACCUCUGAGACGCAAAUUGAGUCUACUGUUCCUCAGGAUGCCUGGGCCCGGUUUACUGUCCCGCAGGAAUCUUGCCCCUUGGUGCCAAAAGAACAUAGAUUUAUGUCUGGUGUCACCUUACCCUGAGCAUGUGUCGGGGAUGAGGGGGUGGUGUCCCUUGGACUUCUCCAGCGAGCAGUGCUCACUUCUCAGUGAGCAGAAAUGCAACUCAGUUUCAUGGCAGCUCCCUGCAGAGUUGGCAGAUGCCUUCAGGGCAAAAGCAGUUCUAAGAGUUCAUUUAUACACCAAACACAAAGGCAACUCAAAAGCAAACAGAAACAAGUAG